Parasteatoda tepidariorum (common house spider) is the source of this 1528-nucleotide non-coding RNA. The record is from RefSeq and is a predicted model, not a curated record. Lineage: Eukaryota; Metazoa; Arthropoda; Arachnida; Araneae; Theridiidae.
AGAUGGUUAUGGUUCGAAUCCCACCGUUACCCACUGGAUGUAUCUUCGUGCUCUCAUUCUCUGUAUUUUGAUAUUAUGUCCUUCUGUUUGACAAAGGUUUAUAAGCCUAAAUUGAGCACAAAUCGACAACAAUAAUCAACAAAAGGAAGUUGGCAACAGUCCUAACGUGUUUAAUCCGGUUGGGUCUGAGUUUUAGCAAUUUUUUCAAAUUCUUUAAAUUCCAAGAACUAAUAAUAAUGACUUCUGAAACAAUAACGAAAAUCUUAAAAUGCGAUUCAUUUGAUGAAAACAAAGACUUGUGUCUUAUAGUGGAAGAUACUACGGCUUAUUGCCAGAAGGAUUUUGUUAAGAGAAUGAGUCCAACUAUUUAUGAUAUUGUUAUACUUCAACCCGACUGAAACGAAAUGGUUGUUCCUACAAGCAAUUUUGCUAGAAACGCAGAGCUAUAAGUGAUAAGCAGAGAGCUCGCCGCGCUUAAGUAUACUCAAUUUUGCUAGUGCUACAACUGUUAUGAAUAGAGAAUCAUACAUUAACGAUGAGGACUCAUGUGAUGUUAGUUACUAUGCUGGGAUGUUGGAAUAAGCUCUCUACUUGCCACAGAAAAUAUUAGAAAAAGAAAUUAAUUGAACAGAUUGUUCCCCAAAAUGUUCGUCAAGUCCUUCGAAUUGCUACAGAUUAUAGAAAAUUGGAUUUAAUUAAGAAAUCUGUGGAGCUGAUAAGAUCUGAAGUUGAUAAAUGACGCAUGUCUAUUUUACUGAUAUUUCUACUCGUAGCACGGCAAAAAUAGAUUUUUUAUAUGGCGUUGAGAGCCAUGGACUGUAAUUUCAGUUUCAUCCUAUUGAGUGUGUUGCAAUAAUUCAGACUUAUGAAAACUAUGACUGAGAAAGAAUAAAGCCUGAGAAAGAGAGCUGAAGCAUUGAAUUGAAUUGAACAAUUGGCACCAAAGUAUACGGAGUGAAACAUUGACCUUUUUCUCAAUUGACUGAACACUGUGAAUUAUGAAAUUACAUUCUGGCUAAACAGAGCUUGUGCAAUAAUUAGGUUUAGCAAAAGUUUAUAGCAUACGGGUCUUGAAUGUCUGACCAUUCGAUUAUUUAUAAGUAGCCAAUCAAAUAAGCUCUCUUUGCUUAUAAAUAGUUUGACAAGAAAAUGAAAAGAUCACAGAAAGAUUAGGAGUCAUUUAGCAGUUGAGCAUAGCAGCGCCAUGUAUUUCAGAGUAUAUCUGGUUAAGCCGUGGUAGAUGCCGUGAAACGUGAAGAAAGUCCAUUUGUAUAAUUUUAUAUUUUUGAGGAAAUUUAUUUGAAACCUUUUAAAAAAACUAAUAAAGAUUGCAAAAAAUAAUUCCUAAAUAGCUGAAUAUUUAAAUAUGACUUAAUUGCUUUGAGAUAGCUUAAUUGCUUUGAGAUUUAUGAUGCUUUAUACUUGUUAGUAAUAAAAAUCUUUAGUCAAACUUGUGUACAAAAUGCUUCAAUAUAAAAAUAAAACAGUUUAAACUAUAAUCAUUCAAUUUAUAGUAUUUUGUGUGCAA